RNAcentral lists this ribosomal RNA (450 nucleotides) under uncultured bacterium. RNAcentral's name for it is "partial 16S ribosomal RNA". It matches the Rfam family "Bacterial small subunit ribosomal RNA", at positions 354 to 796 of the family's 1533-position model. The record is from RNAcentral.
GUGGGGAAUUUUGGACAAUGGGCGAAAGCCUGAUCCAGCCAUGCCGCGUGCAGGAUGAAGGCCUUCGGGUUGUAAACUGCUUUUGUACGGAACGAAAAGACUCUGGUUAAUACCUGGGGUCCAUGACGGUACCGUAAGAAUAAGCACCGGCUAACUACGUGCCAGCAGCCGCGGUAAUACGUAGGGUGCAAGCGUUAAUCGGAAUUACUGGGCGUAAAGCGUGCGCAGGCGGUUAUAUAAGACAGAUGUGAAAUCCCCGGGCUCAACCUGGGAACUGCAUUUGUGACUGUAUAGCUAGAGUACGUCAGAGGGGGAUGGAAUUCCGCGUGUAGCAGUGAAAUGCGUAGAUAUGCGGAGGAACACCGAUGGCGAAGGCAAUCCCCUGGGCCUGUACUGACGCUCAUGCACGAAAGCGUGGGGAGCAAACAGGAUUAGAUACCCGUGUAGUCC